UGGACAGAUUAUUGUAUUCGACUGUAUUCACGGCGUGAAACAGGAAAGUGAAUCAAUUAACAUAAUAGACUCCU
This is a microRNA precursor of Nicotiana attenuata, 74 nucleotides long. It matches the Rfam family "MIR6152 microRNA precursor family". Lineage: Eukaryota; Viridiplantae; Streptophyta; Magnoliopsida; Solanales; Solanaceae. The record is from Rfam.